UUGGAUGAUCCUUUAGCCCUCACUAUGAUGUGAUAUGGAAGUCCAGGUGUGGCCUGCACUACGCCCCUGGCACAAUGUAAGAGAAAGUCCGGGUGUGGCCUGCACUACGCCCCCGGCACGAGUGGAUAUGUAUGAUAUGAUAUGUGUAAGAGAAAGACCAGGUGUGGCCUGCACUACACCCCUGGCAUGAUUGGAUUAUUUAGAGGGCUAUUG
Molecule: long non-coding RNA, 213 nt
Filed under: Manihot esculenta (cassava)
Lineage: Eukaryota; Viridiplantae; Streptophyta; Magnoliopsida; Malpighiales; Euphorbiaceae
Description: long non-coding RNA (MESC_LNC009059)
Source: RNAcentral